This is a long non-coding RNA of Nyctereutes procyonoides (raccoon dog), 1163 nucleotides long. RefSeq lists it as uncharacterized. The transcript has 4 exons. The record is from RefSeq and is a predicted model, not a curated record. NCBI's taxonomy places the organism in Eukaryota, Metazoa, Chordata, Mammalia, Carnivora, Canidae.
CAUUGGCCAGGAGACAUGAAAGAAAGGGAUGCAUGAAAUAGGACGGCAAAGGUAUUUAGUCUGAGCAACUGGAAGGAUGGAGUUGACCUGGCCAGAGAUCCUGAGAUAGUGGGGCCUGUGGGAGUGACCCACAACUUGCUGAAUGCCUAAAUCUCAAGUCUUGGGAAAAACAAUGCUUCCUCUCAAGAUCAGCUGAAUGAAACGAGCAACUUCUAAUCUGAUCGUCAAGCAUGGCAGAGGAGGUUUACAGUGGAGCCAAGGCUGCCAUGGGUGUGCGGGGAUGUGGAGCUGGUGCCUGCCUGGCUGUGGAAGGGGCCCUCUGUGCACCCUGGGACACGAUCUGCUGUGCGUCGUGUUGGCACGUCCCCAUGCAUGUUACUGGGUGGACCAGGAUGCCUCGCUGGGAGAGUCUCAAAACCCGCAGAUCUCAGAAGUGCCACUUGCCUUGACGUGUGCAUUGGCCUCGCCCCACUCCUUGGUCCCUCUCACAAACCACCUCUUCACUUGAAGACCUCUUCUCUCCAAAUCCACUUGCCAACAAGCCCAGCUAAGUUCGUUAAGAUUUAAGGACAUGGGGAACACAUGGAGUUCAGAUAAUAUUUUCUUAAAAAAAGAAAAAACCAAACAACCCAAACCAAUCGCACUCACUUGUUGAGCACUUGCUGUAUACCGGGCCAUUACAUAGGCUGCCUUCUUCCUGAGGCAUGCGGGCCUCAGGUUGUCACCUACCCUCCACGCCCUCCAGGAAAGAGACUUGCAAAUCAAAUAGGUCAUUCACAACCGGGAUACAAACCUGAGCUUUUGAUUGGACUAGUUGUAGCUACCAGAGAGUUCUCUCUGGGGACGGGAAAGCAGGAAUAGUUACUUGUAUUUGCAUAAGCAAACACUGGAAGGACACUUAGAAGCUAAUAUCAUUACAUAUGGCAGCGGGAGUGGGGAGGAAUGGAGGUUUUGGGGGUGAGAACUCUCAAAGUAUAUCCUCCCAUAUUACUUUGAUCUUCGAACCAUUUAGAUCUAUUACCUAAUUUUUAAAACAAAUGAGAUGAAAUUUUAACUGUUCACUUUUUUCCCUCCUGAUAGAGGAAAAUGAGUAGAUGAGCUUGAUGGCUGAGCUGAAAAUUUUUUGAUGUCCAGAAUGUGUGUGGGCCUUAUUUUCCAUAAAG